This 446-nucleotide ribosomal RNA is filed under the name uncultured bacterium. RNAcentral describes it as "bacterial SSU rRNA". It matches the Rfam family "Bacterial small subunit ribosomal RNA", at positions 329 to 792 of the family's 1533-position model. The record is from RNAcentral.
CUCCAGACUCCUACGGGAGGCAGCAGUGGGGAAUAUUGCACAAUGGGGGAAACCCUGAUGCAGCGACGCCGCGUGAGCGAUGAAGUAUUUCGGUAUGUAAAGCUCUAUCAGCAGGGAAGAAAAUGACGGUACCUGACUAAGAAGCCCCGGCUAACUACGUGCCAGCAGCCGCGGUAAUACGUAGGGGGCAAGCGUUAUCCGGAUUUACUGGGUGUAAAGGGAGCGUAGACGGCUGUGCAAGCCAGAUGUGAAAGCCCGGGGCUCAACCCCGGGACUGCAUUUGGAACUGUGUGGCUGGAGUGUCGGAGAGGCAGGCGGAAUUCCUAGUGUAGCGGUGAAAUGCGUGGAUAUUAGGAGGAACACCAGUGGCGAAGGCGGCCUGCUGGACGAUGACUGACGUUGAGGCUCGAAAGCGUGGGGAGCAAACAGGAUUAGAUACCCGGGUA